This 496-nucleotide ribosomal RNA is filed under the name uncultured bacterium. Its description in RNAcentral is "partial 16S ribosomal RNA". It matches the Rfam family "Bacterial small subunit ribosomal RNA", at positions 28 to 507 of the family's 1533-position model. The record is from RNAcentral.
GAUGAACGCUGGCGGCGUGCCUAAUACAUGCAAGUCGAGCGAACGGACGAGAAGCUUGCUUCUCUGAUGUUAGCGGCGGACGGGCGAGUAACACGUGGAUAACCUACCUAUAAGACUGGGAUAACUUCGGGAAACCGUAGCUAAUACCGGAUAAUAUUUUGAACCGCAUGGUUCAAAAGUGAAAGACGGUCUUGCUGUCACUAUAGAUGGAUCCGCGCUGCAUUAGCUAGUUGGUAAGGUAACGGCUUACCAAGGCAACGAUGCAUAGCCGACCUGAGAGGGUGAUCGGCCACACUGGAACUGAGACACGGUCCAGACUCCUACGGGAGGCAGCAGUAGGGAAUCUUCCGCAAUGGGCGAAAGCCUGACGGAGCAACGCCGCGUGAGUGAUGAAGGUCUUCGGAUCGUAAAACUCUGUUAUUAGGGAAGAACAUAUGUGUAAGUAACUGUGCACAUCUUGACGGUACCUAAUCAGAAAGCCACGGCUAACUACGUG